AGAUUGAACGCUGGCGGCAGGCCUAACACAUGCAAGUCGAGCGGUAGAGAGGUGCUUGCAUCUCUUGAGAGCGGCGGACGGGUGAGUAAUGCCUAGGAAUCUGCCUAGUGGUGGGGGAUAACGUUCGGAAACGGACGCUAAUACCGCAUACGUCCUACGGGAGAAAGCGGGGGACCUUCGGGCCUCGCGCCAUUAGAUGAGCCUAGGUCGGAUUAGCUAGUUGGUGAGGUAAUGGCUCACCAAGGCGACGAUCCGUAACUGGUCUGAGAGGAUGAUCAGUCACACUGGAACUGAGACACGGUCCAGACUCCUACGGGAGGCAGCAGUGGGGAAUAUUGGACAAUGGGCGAAAGCCUGAUCCAGCCAUGCCGCGUGUGUGAAGAAGGUCUUCGGAUUGUAAAGCAACUUUAAGUUGGAGGAAGGUUGUAACCUAAUACGUUGCAAUUUGACGUUACGACAAGAAUAAGCACCGGCUAACUUCGUGCCAGCAGCCG
RNAcentral lists this ribosomal RNA (494 nucleotides) under uncultured soil bacterium. Its description in RNAcentral is "bacterial SSU rRNA". It matches the Rfam family "Bacterial small subunit ribosomal RNA", at positions 26 to 517 of the family's 1533-position model. The record is from RNAcentral.